AAACGUCCAACGGCCGCAACCGCCCGGCUGGGCUCGGUGUGGCGGUCACGGCCGGGGCCGCAAGGAGCCCGGAGCCGCCGCCGCCACCGCUCCAGGCAUCGUGCUGACAGGGCAACGGCCCGGAUCACGCAGCCCCGAGGGCCGCUCGCAGCCUUCUCCUCAGCCCUCGCAGGGCUGCACGCACGGGAGAACCCGGCAGCUGCAAGGAGGGCCGGGACCCCUGCUUCUGGGGACCAGGGUAGAGAGAAAGGGCCUCGAGGUGCUGGCGCUCCUCGGAGUCCGCGCCACCGCAAACGCCGCCGCCGCCGCCGCCGCUUCUACCCACUCCUCACUCCGAAUGGCAACUAAUUCGCCCCAGCCGCACCCCGCCCCCGGCACCGCCUCCCAGCGCCCAGGACCCGGCAGCUGCCGCAGCGAGCAUUUCCAUUGGCUUAGGCGCUCCCCACUAGAACUCGAGUGAUUGGUUCUGGAAUAGGAGUGAGAGAAGCAGUGUCCAAUGACAAUGGUGCCUCCUACUUUGAAGGCGGGGCGUGAGGGGUGGCAGCGUGAGGUGGGGGCUGUGCGCGCAGGGAGGAGCGUAAAAGUUGACAGCCUUGAGCAUGUGACACCUUCUGCCAUGAGAUGAUGCUACAAGAAGAACCUCACCGACUGCUGGCACCUUGAUACUGGACUUCACAGCCUCCAGAAUUGUGAGCCAAUGUCUUUCAAACAUUGAUAAUUACAGCUUUCAGACCCAAAGCCUACAAAUUCAUAAUCCAUACAGAUGACAUACUAAAAUCUACUCAAACUUGUAAGUCUGAAGACAAUUUCAGCACUAUUGGACUUACAUUAGGAGAAAACUGCUUAAAAAGAGAUAAUCCACUUUAAAGCAAGAAAACAAGAUAAUUCAAGGGAAAAAUGUAUGACUCUAAAUUUGGAAACCAGACAGGAUCUGCUAAUACGGGGCAGAAUGUUAAAAAGAGGAUGAAUUUUGAUUUCAGAAAAUUUAGAAGAAAAUGGAUUUCUCAGGCAACUGAAAGAACAUAUUUGGAUCUGUUAAGAUGAAAGGAGACUUCAAGAGAACUGGACUUUGUGUUGGACAGGCUGUCUGUGACAGGGAAAAAACCCCUUCUGAAUGAUUAGGGAUGAAUCAGUUAACUUGCUUGAGUUUCACAUUCUUCAUCUGUAAAAUCUGGUGAUUAGACUGGCCCAGCAAAAGAUAUAAUGGGCAAAAGAUAUAAUACACAUAAAUUGGAAUGAAUCUGCAUUUUCCAAGCCUGAUGACUUUAUUAAAACUGAAUUAAGUCACUAACUGGCAGCCUGAAGAUGAAAGGAAAGAACUCAGUCAUGCUUCUUAAGGUAAAAGGGCAGUCUAACUGAGAAUUUUGUUAUCUCUGAGGACAAAUUACAAGGAGAUAAAGACACUCAAGAUCACAUGGAAGGCUUCUGCUCCCACUUAGAGACUGCAAUGUAAGCGACGGAGACAAAGAAGAUUUUCCUGAGCAGUGUCAGUAACAAAGAAAUGAAGCAAAUUAUUAAGAAACUGAUGGGCAUUCAUUGAAGAGCAACAAAUAUGAUUCAUAAGUCUGAAGGGACAGCCUUCAGAGAGAAGAUGAAAGAGACAAGUCUCUCAGCAUGACCAUGUGGCUCUAACGGGACUGGCUCAUGGGCAACAAGUACUUGAAGGGUGUAAAUAGUGGGGACAGAGAGAAAUUAUUUAGUGUGCAAGGGGACAGCAGGAGGAGUGAUGGUAAAUGAAAGUCAAAACAAAGAUGAUUUAGGCAGCUGAACGAGUCACAGGCCCUAAUGGAGAGAUCUAUUAUAGGCUGUACAGCCUUGGGAAGGGUGGAAACCCCAUCACUUGUGCCAUUUACAGUUGGAAAAGCCAUUAAAAAGUAGAUCAGCCUGUUGGAGAGGGAAAAAACACCGCAGGUCCUCAGAGAAUCAGUGGGAUGACUUAAUAGGUCUUUUCCAUCUCAAAUUACUGUGAUGUAGUUUGUACGCAUGGGGACCUGAGGUUCUAGAAUAAUUUUUCCAGCAUUUGGGCUUCUUUACUAUUACUACAAGGCCUCAGUGAAGAAAUGAUAACGGGUCAUGGAAUGCAGUUUCUGCAUUGUAAGUGGAAGCCCACAGUGUACUGAUGCUUUAGUAUGAAGGCAGGACUGACUAUGGUAAGUUUCACAUUGUGAUGUCAGUGUAAAUAAAUAAAAACACAAUACCAAUUAAGUCCCAAAACAACAUACAUAUAUUGACUGAGACCAAAGGCAGAGGGAAAGGACCUUUGUCACAGUUAGAUGGUGGCUGAAUAAAUGAAAAUUCAAGUAGUUUAUUCUCUCAUCUAGAAAAAUACAUGUCUAAAUACUUAAAAGUCUAUCUUUACAAAAAAAAAAUAAGAAAAAAAAUGGCCUUAAAACUAUCAAGAAAUAUUUACUGUGUAGGAACUUUAGGACCCACAUUUUGAAUGUGUGCUGUAUUUCUGUGCACAGCUGCAGUUGUAAUUAGCAACUGACACAUUCCGAAACCAUGGUGGCCCAGAGGAGCACAUAUGUGCACAGGCUGUGCCAACCUGGGGCAAUAACUGCAACUGAAAGGAACGGGCACAGCUUGGUCAGAUGGAAACUGGGGCAGGCAGAGAAGGGCUGGUGUUACUGUGAUUACUAGAAGGAGCACAGCUGUGACCAUCUCAACCCUUCUCAGCCAGAGGAUGACACGGAAGCAGGGGACAAAAAUGGUAAGAGGGUGACAGGAGGGAGAGGCAGCAAGAAAGAAAGCAAAAGAAUCCAGAGAGGGAAACCCACAGAUGCAAGCUCUUUGCAGGUGGAGUAUAUCACAGAUCCUGAUAAAAAUAUUGUAUGUGGUUGAGCACAAGUGAAACUUGGCGUUCUAGAAGACUGAAGUUUGCAACAAAAAUUCAGGGUUUGACCUACACCUGACAGAUAUAGGUCAACCCUCAUCCUGCUGCUCUCAGCAGCUGUAGCCAAUAGGAGACAGUGCUGCCCAGCAUGCCGGUUUAAGCUGCUGCUAAUAGAGGGAAAUCAACGUAACCCCAUAUUUCCUGCCUCUGCAGUCCUCACUUGUCUAUACAUGGCCAACUCAGGCGCAGGCAGAGCUGCUGGCUUGCUGUAACUGCUGGAUGACUGAUAAGUGGAAUCUGGUGCUAGCAUAUAUAUUCCCACCUCAUCUAGCUAAAAAAUCUUUUGUAAAGCCUUUUAAGGGAGGACCAUUAAAAUUCAAUUUUCCCUCAUUAACCUAAAUGCUUUCUUAAAUUCAUAUAACCAGAAGAGACGUACUAAUUCUUCACACCAACAGAACUUUAGAGAUGUUUAGAGAGAGGAAAUUCCGUGACAGAGGCCUAUUUUUGAAAGGAUACAGCAAAGGUUAAGUGACUUAUCCCAUGUUACUUAGAGGUGAUAGUUAAGGCAGAAAGCGAACUGAGGGAGUGGUCUGAGAUAAGUGAGGAAAUUAUGAAAUUAAAUCUGAAGAAAGAACAUCAUCACCAAAUCACAUUGGGUUAAAUAUCUAUUGGAAAUCCCAAUUCAGUAACACACAUUCCUUUAUCCUACAUGUUCAGACUAGUGUUAAAAGUGACUUCAGAUAUUUCCUAUGCUCAUGUUUUUUAAAAAAAAGUCCAACCAUUCUCCUCAAUGAACAUGACAUUAAAUCAAGCUAAGUCCAGUCACAUGGUCUCAACUUUACUCACUAAAGCUAGCAGGCAAGGGCCUAGUGAGUUGAAUUAGAGGUUUAAUUAGAAGAACAAGCAAUAAAUGCUAAAUGUUCUGUUGCAACUGUGUAACUUUCUGUGGGAUUUUAUGCCUUGUAUCUUUUUUCCUGAAUUCCAGACCAACGGGGCUGCACUAGAACCCCAGAAGCAGAGAAUUCCAUAACUCAGACUCUUUGAUUCAGAUAUUUUUCUUUUCAUCACCUUGAGAGAGCAAAUAAAUCCCCCAAACUACUUUUCCCACCUCUCAAGCUUCUAGAGGAUAUUCUUGACUGGAAUUUGUCCAUGUUCUUAAAUAACAGGUUACUUCACGUUCUUUGUGUUUAAAUAAAUGUAAUUAGGCCUGUUUUUAAAAACUAUGGAAAAUAUUAAAAAGAAAAUUAAAAUCAUCUAUAAACUUACCACUUAGUGGCAGCCACAUGAACAUUUUUGUGUUUCCUUAUUUCUACACAUAUGUAUACUUUCCAAAAUUUGUCAUAAAUGUUUUAAAGGUGCUUCAUAUAUUGCCAAAUUGCCCUCCAGAAAAGUUAAAUCAAUUUAUAAUCCAUUUUCAGUGAAUGGUGUAAUUUUAAAAGCCAGCUUUAAAUUUGAGUUGAAAAAUGAUGCCUCACAGCUGUCUUUAUUUUCUUCUAUCUCCCUCAAUCCUAAAGUUGACCAUUUCUUUCCUAUGGUUAUGGCCAAUUACAGUGGACAUCGUGUUUCACUCCUCAACAACAAUGUAGUUUCUGGAAUUGACCCCAGCUCUCGGAAUGAGUCCUGAUUACUAUUGAACCAAGCAUAGUAAUCCAAUCUCUUUGGCUAGUGAAAGGUUCAAAAUCAAAACAUAGCAUUCCUGUGACAAGAGAUUUAAUCCAGGUUGGUCCUAAUCUGAGUCAAUAAGGCUGAGAAGAAGCACUUGUAUUUUGUUGCUAGAAAAGAGAUUCUACGGCCUGGUGUGGUGGUUCACACCUGUAAUCCCAGCACUUUGGGAGGCCGAGGUGGGUGGAUCAUUUGAGGUCAGGAGUUUGAGACCAGCCUGCCUCUACCAAAAACACAAAAAUUAGCCGAGUGUGGUCGCGGGUGCCUGUAGUUCCAGCUACUCGGGAGGCUGAGGCAGGAGAAUCGCUUGAACCCAGGAGGUAGAGGUUGCAGUGAGCCAAGAAAAAAAAAAAAAAAAAGAGAGAGAGAGAGGUUCCACUUCUCCUCUGAUGAAUGUGAACAGGAAAGCGUAUUGUCCCCACGUGCUGCUGGGUGUUAUCUUGUGAACCUCAGAGAAGUCAACCUGACUUUCUGGUUACAUGCAAAAAUAUAUUAUUUCCUUAGUGUUUAGGUUAGUUUGAUUUGGGCUUCCAAUUUUUACAGUGAGAAGCUGUCAGAACCCUUUCUCUUUAUGGGAUUUUUGGAGUUUUUUAUUUGGUUUUUGCCAAUUCCUAUUAGGCAUUAUCAGUGUUUUUAUUGUUGAUGUGGUAAGAACUCUAUUGAGGGUGUAAUCUUGUUGUCUAUUUAUUAUGACUAUGUCUCCAAGUUUAUCACUUGUUCAUUAUUUGCUAUGUAGUCUUAUUUAAUUCAGAGAAGAAU
This 5254-nucleotide long non-coding RNA is filed under the name Homo sapiens (human). Its description in RNAcentral is "HSALNT0339138". Lineage: Eukaryota; Metazoa; Chordata; Mammalia; Primates; Hominidae. The record is from RNAcentral.